UCAAGUGGCCGAGUGGUAACGCUCGUGACUUUGAUUCAUCAGGUCGUGGGUUCGAGGUCCCCAUGGUCUGAG
Non-coding RNA from Halocaridina rubra (Hawaiian volcano shrimp), 72 nucleotides. The record is from the annotation of a GenBank genome assembly. Lineage: Eukaryota; Metazoa; Arthropoda; Malacostraca; Decapoda; Atyidae.